GUUCUUAUUUAAAAAAAAAAAAAAAAAAAGAGUACCAUGUAUUCUCCGUGACAAUGCAUGUAUCGGACCGUGACCCCCGUACCGUGACGGUCCAAUAAGAGUACAAAUACCGUGCCACCCCUAGUGGGGAGGUCACUGCCCGAGCGAUGUGUCCCGUCUCAUUCCAUCCUGGGUUUUACCAACAACCCUUGGCUCAUACUCUGGGAGAACUGGUGCAACUGAACUUACUUUCCUUUUCAAAAAGAAAAAUAAAAGCUUUCCUUUUCUUGUAGUUUUAUUUAAUUGUUGGUACUGCACCCUCUUUCAAUACGGGCCAACGCUCCUCAACAGAUCAGAGGUCUCAUAUGAGUCUUCAGUAAAAUGUGCAGAGCAGAAGAGAGACCACUUCGUAGGCACCCAAUGUGCCCGUGAACAACUUGCAAAACGCGUCCAAAUCUUUGCAGUUUGAACAUUCUUGGGCCAUGAAUGCAAUGUAAAUCCACCUUCUGUCGUGCUGCUGGCACAUCUACGUGGCAUGGCAAUAAAUUGGCUCAAAAUGGAGCAUCGCAGUUUGCAGUAUAGCAGAAAUGGCGACGAGACCGAUAGCCUUCCUGCUGUGACGUCAAGGUCAUUCACUCAGACCGCUACCUAUAUGAAUCACUUUAACUGUAAAAGUUACUUAGAUUUAUUGUUAACGCUUAAAACUAUUUCUGUGCCAUUCUUGAGGUCUCAAAGCACUUAUAAAUGAAAGUGAGGCCAUGGUUCUGCGUAUCUCCUUUAAACCCAAGUCAAUUCCCACAUUAAGUUCUGAAACGCGCAGUUUGAUUGGUUAACCCAUGCACUAUAAGCCAAUCAAUUUCCGGGUUAUGUUCCAUUUUAUCUGGAGGCGCAAUAUGGAUGAAGUACAUUUACAUGCUCCACCGCGGCAUUUAAAAUUGAAGGUGUGGGCUCAUUUUGGUUUUAAAAACAUAAAUGAGAAAGAAAAAGCGACAUGCAAGAUAUGCUUUACAGAUGUCAUGUGUAAAACUGGUAAUACAAGCAACUUGAACACACAUUUAAAGAGGAAACAUGGAAUCAAUCUGACCGGCAAAUCGGAGCGCGAUUCGGCAUCUGGAAGUGGUGGUAUCACCAAGAAGAAAUCUACAGGUCAAUUUCGCCUCGCUGAUGUGAUGAAUGCUAGAUAUUCUCAUAACAGCACUCGCUCAACAACAAUAUCAAGUCAAGUUUAUUUGUAUAGCACUUUUAAUAAUAAACAUUGUCGCAAAGCAGCUUUACAGAAUUUGAACGACUUAAAAUAUGAGCUAAUUUUAUCCCUAAUCUAUCCCCAAUGAGCACGCCUGUGGCGAUGGUGGCAAGGAAAAACUCCUUCAGACAACAUGAGGAAGAAACCUCGAGAGGUUGAAAAGGCUGACAGCAUUACUAUCACAACUGAUUCUUGGACUUCACGUGCAACAGAAAAUUAUGUAGCCGUCACUGCUCACUUCAUUAAUACUAAAUGGGAAGUUGAAAAUUACACCCUUGAAACAAAGAAGUUCGGUGAAUCCCACACAGCUGAAAACUUGUCACAUGGUCUGAAAGAAACCAUUGACAAAUGGAAACUUGGGGGUAAUGGAAUAGGUUCUGUCCAACAGACAAUGCAAGUAACAUUGUUCGUGCUGUUAAGGAUGCAGAACUGAGCCCACACAUUCCAUGCUUUGCACAUAUGAUAAAUCUUGCAACACAACAUGGACUAAAAGUGCCACAAAUGGACAGACUUUUGGGCAGGGUCAGACACAUGAUUAAUUUUUUUCAUAAGAGUACAUCAGCCACCAGCAGUCUUUUACUGAUGCAAAAGAAGCUUGACCUCCCUCAGCACAAGUUACUUAUUAAUGUCUCUACUAGAUGGAACUCUACUUUUGACAUGCUUGAGAGAUAUUUGGAACAGCAGGCUGCUAUUUGCUGCCCUAAUUGAGGUUAAGAAGAAUGUAAAAGACUUGGUAACUUUGUCUGAUGAGCAUAUCCAAAACACUGAAGAACUUCUAAAAAUUCUCAAACCUCUCGGGACAGUUACCAACAUGAUGUGUAGUCAGAUGCAUCCAACAGUGUCUCUUAUACACCCCCUUAAGGAAAUGCUCCUGAAGCAACUUGAAACUGUACCAACUGACAACAUACUGCUUUCAGAAGUCAAAACAGCCAUUAAGUUCAGAUCUCAGACCAAGGUACACAGAGACUUCUGUAUUGAAGUUCCUUCUUAAGGCAUCUGUUCUUGACCCUCGCUUUAAAAGCCUUCCCUACCUGGAUGAUGAUGCCAGACAUUAUAUUUUCCAUGCUCUUGCAAUGGAAGCAGUGGACCAUGCAACUCGAAGAAUGUAACUGUAAAGAAAGAACCAGGAACUUCUACUGAGGAGAGCAACCAUGCUGCACUGCCUAAUCUACCUGCUACCCCAGCCCUUGAAGGCUGGCGAGAGCCUUUCUGUGCAGAGUUUGCAUGUUCUCCCCGUGUCCGCGUGGGUUUCCUCCGGGUGCUCCGGUUUCCCCCACAGUCCAAAGACAUGCAGGUUAGGUAAACUGGCGACUCUAAAUUGACCGUAGGUGUGAAUGUGAAUGGUUGUCUGUGUCUAUGUGUCAGCCCUGUGAUAACCUGGCGACUUGUCCAGGGUGUACCCUGCCUUUCACCCGUAGUCAGCUGGGAUAGGCUCCAGCUUGCCUGCGACCCUGUAGAACAGGAUAAAGUGGCCAGAGAUAAAUGAGAUGAGAUAUUUAUGUUUGUAAUGAAUUUAAUUAAUUGUUAUGUUUUAAGUUUGUUAUGAAUUAAAAAAAACGCAAAAACAAUG
This is a long non-coding RNA of Neoarius graeffei (lesser salmon catfish), 2792 nucleotides long. RefSeq lists it as uncharacterized. The record is from RefSeq and is a predicted model, not a curated record. NCBI's taxonomy places the organism in Eukaryota, Metazoa, Chordata, Actinopteri, Siluriformes, Ariidae. The transcript has 3 exons.